RNAcentral lists this long non-coding RNA (199 nucleotides) under Elaeis guineensis (African oil palm). RNAcentral's name for it is "long non-coding RNA (EGUI_LNC072945)". The record is from RNAcentral. Lineage: Eukaryota; Viridiplantae; Streptophyta; Magnoliopsida; Arecales; Arecaceae.
CAUACCAAACUACCCAAAGAUUACCCACGGGGGAGACCCCCUUUGUCUUAGCCUUCAGAACAGAAGCCGUUAUCCCGACUAAACUCAAGCUUCUAUCGGCGCGAGUCAUGACAUUCGACAAGUAGCGCAACUCAUGAGAUCUCAAGGCCAACCUCGACUUGUUAGAAGAAAAGCGAGAAACAGCUCAAGUUCGGAUGGC